RNAcentral lists this ribosomal RNA (394 nucleotides) under Stramenopiles sp. MAST-1A. RNAcentral's name for it is "partial small subunit ribosomal RNA". It matches the Rfam family "Eukaryotic small subunit ribosomal RNA", at positions 582 to 975 of the family's 1831-position model. The record is from RNAcentral.
AUUCCAGCUCCAAUAGCGUUUAUUAAAGUUGUUGCAGUUAAAAAGCUCGUAGUUGGAUUUCUGGCUGGAGCGAUCGGUCCGCCCCGCAAGGGGUGUGUACUAGCGUCGUCUCCGACCAUCCUUGUGGGAACUGUGCGGCCGUUAACUCGGUUGUAUAUGGGAACACAUCGUUUACUGUGAAAAAAUUAGAGUGUUUAAAGCAGGCUUAAGCCGUUGAAUACAUUAGCAUGGAAUAAUAAGAUAAGACUUGGGUCAUUAUUUUGUUGGUUUGCGGAUCGAGGUAAUGAUUAAUAGGGAUAGUUGGGGGUAUUCAUAUUUAAUUGUCAGAGGUGAAAUUCUUGGAUUUAUGAAAGAUGAACUUAGGCGAAAGCAUUUACCAAGGAUGUUUUCAUUA